RNAcentral lists this unclassified non-coding RNA (153 nucleotides) under uncultured Ascomycota. RNAcentral describes it as "sequence contains ITS2". Lineage: Eukaryota; Fungi; Ascomycota. The record is from RNAcentral.
UACCCCCUCAAGCCUUGCUUGGUGUUGGACUCCGCCCCCGCCGCUUGCGCGAGGGCGCCGUCCAAAAGUCAUCGGCGCCCGUCGCCGGCCCCAGCGUUGUGGAAUCAUCCGCUGUGGCCCGGCCGACGUGGUUGCCUCGCACCCAUCAGUACC